Molecule: long non-coding RNA, 3304 nt
Organism: Gallus gallus (chicken)
Lineage: Eukaryota; Metazoa; Chordata; Aves; Galliformes; Phasianidae
Exons: 2
Source: RefSeq, a predicted model, not a curated record
GGAGAGCGCAAGUGGGGCUGCGCAGAGAGCGCACGGCCAGCCCGCUGGUGAUGAGCCCGGUAAGUUUUCACUCUGCGCCUAAUUAAUUAUCGACUUCUCUUCCUUUUCCGAAGCAGCCUCAGAAGCCGCUCUGGAUGCGCGUUCCUCGGCCAGAGGCCGCCAGCCCCGCACCCUGCAGAGCCCCGACGUUCUGCAGCGCGGAGGGAACCGGGCGCUGCGCUCCCGCAGCCGCGGCGGAGUUCCCGGAGCUCCACCGGGGAAAUCUUUACGAUUAUUCAGGCGUGGGCCCAAUAUCGGUAUUAUUGAAAUUUUAGGUGAAGUUGUAAGUGAGUGCUUCCAUCGAGCCAAAUGAAAUGCUGCUCGCAGUAAUUGGAUUCAGCUGACUAACUUGGCAGGCCAGCAGCUCGGAGGCAUACAGCUAAGAAAAAUGUUCGCUGCCUUUAACUUCCCAUCGAGCAGAGCAACGCGCAGCACAAGGACGCGCAUACACACACACACACACACACACACACACACACACUCACAAAAGCCGACAAGAAACAACUUCUUUCUUCCCUUCCCUCUCCUCGCUGUCCGGCCGCAGCCCUACCCCAGUACGACGCGGGGCUCUGCGCGGGGUUCCCCGCAAACACAGCCUGGGAGCUCCGCGCAGGCCGCGGGUCGGGGCCGGGGGAAACCGGCCCUGGGUUGGGGGAGGCAGCCGAGCUGCGGGGAGCUGAGGCCGCUCCCAGCGCUUCUGAGCGGCCGUAGCCCCCGGGCACUCCCAGGCAGGCACCGUCCUGCUGCUCCCACCUCCCGAACGCACCGGGACGGCUUCCCGGCGGAUAAAUGUCACCGCGAGCUGCAGCGGCAGAAGCCGGGGGCGCGGGCUGCCAGGUAAUAGCAGGACUAAAACAACCGUGGGGGAGAGGGGGGCAGCAGCCACUGAGCGACACAAACGUGGGGGGAAAGGGCACGAGAACGCACCUGGCAGGAAGAUUUCGGAAACCCAACUGAGGGGCUGCGUUAACCGACGAGCCUGUUUGAGAUCGCACGUUACAAACCAGCACGCCUCCCCCCCCCCGCCACGGCAACGAGUAUCGUGGUGCUCCAUCUUACUUUGCAACGGGAGCAUCCAGCAAAGUUGUCUCUCCCCCUUUUCUUUGUUAUUUGCAAUCCCCUCCUUGAAACCACCGAAAAAUGGAGAUAGGAGAGGGACGAAGCUUUUCCCCCAGCCCUUGGGAAGGAGUUUGCCUUUUAUUUAAGCAGCAUAAUAAAAGACAGAGCUUACAGCCUCCAAGGAGGUGGACGUUACUCCACGCGUUAUGGGCAGAGAUUACAAACAAAUUCCGGGCGGUCUCCGAGUAAAGGCGGUAAUGCAGCCCCUGUGGGGAAAGGUCCCGUUUUGCCAUGCAGUUCCUUACCUGUGUGCCCAUUUAUCACAACCUGGGCUCCUCACUUUUCAGGAUGUGCGCUCGCGGUUCUUAGAAUACAUCCUUCCCCCUUUGUCUGCAGCCAGCACCGUCCUAAACCCGAUCCUGCGGUUUUACAGACAUUUCCACACCAGAAUUCCCGAUAGAAUGAGAACAAGCCCGGGCUCAGCUACCAAUAAAAGAGAGCGAGUGGAAAUCGGAAUUUGGUGGGGUUAAAAAAAAAAAAAAAACUCAACACGCGGCCCUUCAGCCAUCAGCCUCCCGGAAUCAAAGGCAGCAAUUGGCCGCCUUCUCGUUUUGUUUUGUUUUUAAAUCGUGCGGCCAUUGAUGAAUUUUGGGGACGAGCAGGAGAAAGCCCUUUAUAACCAGAAAUAUGGGCACUGCCUUCCAAUACAGCCGGCUUUACCCACGUGAUGCCGGGAGCAGCUCUCUUCGGGCCGAGGCGCGGCAGCUCCCAGCCAGGCCCCCCCCGCGCCCCUCUCCCGGCCCGGGGCUCCGCGCCUCUCCGCGCCGCACGGCGUCCGCACUUACGCGCCCGCCCGAGCGCCGGGAAAAAGGUGAAUUCCGCGGGGUGUUCCCAGGGCUCAGAGAUUGCCGGCGGAGGGAGAGGAGAGGUUUGGGACCGGCCGCGACCCGCGCUGCUCCGGCGGCCGUGCGCAGGGCGGAACGGAGAGCGGGGAUUUUUGUUUUCUCCUUCUCCGUCCCAGGAGCGGGCGGGCGGCAAGGACUAACCCUGGCUGGAGGCUACAGAAGCGUUGGGGGAAAAAAACAACAAGAACUCAUGACAUUUGUGCGUGUGUGCGUCUGCCUGGAGCCUGCCUCCCCGCUCCCUGAGCAAGCCGAGCGCAGAGCGAACCCGAUACUUAUAAAAAGAUUGGAGUCCGGUGAUGGAAGCGUAAGUUCAGUGUAAAUUAUUGUGUACGGCUUCGGAUUUAUAAUCCUAUAUUUCUUCGAAACGACGCACUUAAAUCUCGCCCCGAGUAAGAGGUAAUGGUUCUUUAUAUCCUUGCCGCCUGCCAUCUAUUUCGGCGUCUGUGCGCGUCGCGGAGCCCCGCUCGUGUGCCCCCCGCGGCUCCGCACCCCGCGCCGUGCGUGCGGGGCUGAAGGGCUGCGGGGUUCGGUGCGGGGCUGCGGGGGCUCUCGGCCCGGCGCCCCCGGGGAAGUCCCGCAGCCGUGGGCCGCCGCUCGGGGGCUCCGAAAGGGGCCGUUGAACCUACGCGUGGAGGCCGGCGGGGAGAUGGGUGCGCCUCGGCACCGCCGCCGGAACGAAGGCAUCGCAGGGGGACCGCAAAGCUCCGAAGGAAACGUAAAUCCUUCGCGCCGGUGGGACUCCGGCUUUGCGCGAAUUUGUCUCCAGUAAAGGAUCUAAGAGUUCUUCAAUCGGAGCAUAUGUUCAUAGAGCAAUAAAACAGAAAGAUUUACAGUCUCCGCCCGCCCCCCAGCAGCCUCGCACCCUUUCAGGAAUUACUUAUGAUGAUUUAUAACAACAACUCCGGCAAUUGUCAAACUGAUAAAAUAGCCCGGGCUAUAUGCGGGAAUAAACGCUCUUACGAAGGGGCCGCGAUUUAUGUUCGGGUCCAUUUUACUGCGUCUCUUGGAGGAGUUGGGUUUCCUUCCCGGGCCAACGGGAUAAUAUAAAACUUCAUUGAUAAAAACGUGGGACUCGCGGUGAAGUAGCGAAUCUGUUCCUAAGUCACUACCAAAGCACAUAAACAUUUGUCAUCUUUGAAUAAUUGAAUUAAUGUGUUAUUGUUUGAAUGUAUAAUUCAUAACAUAGGAAACUUUGUCUCUGUCCUGCCACCGAAACGGAAGUAAUAAAAAGCUGCAAUCUCGGAUUUUUUUCGAAAUUACUCCAGCAAGGACAAUAAAGAAUAUCCUGUUUGCAGAAAGCA